AUACUGCUGAGGAGUCCCACAAUAGAACGAAACGGUCGUCUAGUGU
RNAcentral lists this non-coding RNA (46 nucleotides) under Schistosoma mattheei. The record is from RNAcentral. Lineage: Eukaryota; Metazoa; Platyhelminthes; Trematoda; Strigeidida; Schistosomatidae.